GUACUGAUGAAGAGUUCCAAACUAGGACGAAACAGCUGUUCAGUAC
RNAcentral lists this non-coding RNA (46 nucleotides) under Trichobilharzia regenti. The record is from RNAcentral. Lineage: Eukaryota; Metazoa; Platyhelminthes; Trematoda; Strigeidida; Schistosomatidae.